This 484-nucleotide ribosomal RNA is filed under the name uncultured bacterium. Its description in RNAcentral is "partial 16S ribosomal RNA". It matches the Rfam family "Bacterial small subunit ribosomal RNA", at positions 28 to 507 of the family's 1533-position model. The record is from RNAcentral.
AUUGAACGCUGGCGGCAUGCUUUACACAUGCAAGUCGAACGGCAGCGCGGGCUUCGGCCUGGCGGCGAGUGGCGAACGGGUGAGUAAUGCAUCGGAACGUGCCCAGUAGUGGGGGAUAGCCCGGCGAAAGCCGGAUUAAUACCGCAUACGACCUGAGGGUGAAAGCGGGGGACCGAAAGGCCUCGCGCUAUUGGAGCGGCCGAUGUCGGAUUAGCUAGUUGGUGGGGUAAAGGCUUACCAAGGCGACGAUCCGUAGCUGGUCUGAGAGGACGACCAGCCACACUGGGACUGAGACACGGCCCAGACUCCUACGGGAGGCAGCAGUGGGGGAUUUUGGACAAAGGGGGCAACCCUGAUCCAGCCAUGCCGCGUGCGGGAAGAAGGCCUUCGGGUUGUAAACCGCUUUUGUUCGGGAAGAAAUCCUCUGGGCUAAUACCCCGGGGGGAUGACGGUACCGGAAGAAUAAGCACCGGCUAACUACGUG